RNAcentral lists this ribosomal RNA (248 nucleotides) under uncultured bacterium. Its description in RNAcentral is "partial 16S ribosomal RNA". It matches the Rfam family "Bacterial small subunit ribosomal RNA", at positions 524 to 771 of the family's 1533-position model. The record is from RNAcentral.
UACGAAGGGUGCAAGCGUUACUCGGAAUUACUGGGCGUAAAGCGUGCGUAGGCGGUUGGCUAAGUCAGAUGUGAAAGCCCUGGGCUCAACCUGGGAAUGGCAUUUGAAACUGGCCGGCUAGAGUGUGAUAGAGGAUGGCGGAAUUCCCGGUGUAGCGGUGAAAUGCGUAGAGAUCGGGAGGAACAUCCGUGGCGAAGGCGGCCAUCUGGAUCAACACUGACGCUGAGGCACGAAAGCGUGGGGAGCAA